ACGAACGCUGGCGGCGUGCCUAAUACAUGCAAGUAGAACGCUGAGGGAGGAGCUUGCUUCUCCGGAUGAGUUGCGAACGGGUGAGUAACGCGUAGGUAACCUGCCUGGUAGCGGGGGAUAACUAUUGGAAACGAUAGCUAAUACCGCAUAACAGUAGAUGUUGCAUGACAUUUGCUUAAAAGGUGCAAUUGCAUCACUACCAGAUGGACCUGCGUUGUAUUAGCUAGUUGGUGAGGUAACGGCUCACCAAGGCGACGAUACAUAGCCGACCUGAGAGGGUGAUCGGCCACACUGGGACUGAGACACGGCCCAGACUCCUACGGGAGGCAGCAGUAGGGAAUCUUCGGCAAUGGACGGAAGUCUGACCGAGCAACGCCGCGUGAGUGAAGAAGGUUUUCGGAUCGUAAAGCUCUGUUGUAAGAGAAGAACGAGUGUGAGAGUGGAAAGUUCACACUGUGACGGUAUCUUACCAGAAAGGGACGGCUAACUACGUG
This 494-nucleotide ribosomal RNA is filed under the name uncultured bacterium. Its description in RNAcentral is "partial 16S ribosomal RNA". It matches the Rfam family "Bacterial small subunit ribosomal RNA", at positions 29 to 507 of the family's 1533-position model. The record is from RNAcentral.